This 26-nucleotide non-coding RNA is filed under the name Homo sapiens (human). The record is from RNAcentral. Lineage: Eukaryota; Metazoa; Chordata; Mammalia; Primates; Hominidae.
UUGCACUUUAGCUAACCUGGGUGACA